Molecule: ribosomal RNA, 689 nt
Filed under: uncultured bacterium
Lineage: Bacteria
Description: bacterial SSU rRNA
Rfam family: Bacterial small subunit ribosomal RNA
Source: RNAcentral
GAUGGCGACCGGCGCACGGGUGAGUAACGCGUAUGCAACCUACCCAGUACAGGGGGAUAGCCCGGAGAAAUUCGGAUUAAUACCCCAUAAUGAUAUCGAGUGGCAUCAUUUGAUAUUUAAAGUUUCGGCGGUACUGGAUGGGCAUGCGUGACAUUAGCUAGUUGGUAGGGUAACGGCCUACCAAGGCAUCGAUGUCUAGGGGUCCUGAGAGGGUGAUCCCCCACACUGGUACUGAGACACGGACCAGACUCCUACGGGAGGCAGCAGUGAGGACUAUUGGUCAAUGGGCGCAAGCCUGAACCAGCCAUCCCGCGUGAAGGAAGAAGGCGCUAUGCGUCGUAAACUUCUUUUCCGGAGGAAUAAAAUCUUGUACGUGUACAGGACUGAAGGUACUCUGGGAAUAAGCAUCGGCUAACUCCGUGCCAGCAGCCGCGGUAAUACGGAGGAUGCGAGCGUUAUCCGGAUUUAUUGGGUUUAAAGGGUGCGUAGGCGGAUCAAUAAGUCAGUGGUGAAAACCUUCAGCUUAACUGGAGACUUGCCAUUGAUACUGUUAGUCUUGAGUAUGGUUAAGGUAGGCGGAAUGUGUAAUGUAGCGGUGAAAUGCUUAGAUAUUACACAGAACACCAAUUGCGAAGGCAGCUUACUGAGCCAUAACUGACGCUGAUGCACGAAAGCGUGGGGAGCGAACA